Molecule: long non-coding RNA, 788 nt
Organism: Vicia villosa (hairy vetch)
Lineage: Eukaryota; Viridiplantae; Streptophyta; Magnoliopsida; Fabales; Fabaceae
Exons: 3
Source: RefSeq, a predicted model, not a curated record
AAAGUUGAAUAGUGGGAACUAGGGGUGGACAGAUUUUUUCAAUCCAGUCCAAACCGACCUACCCAAGGGACCCAUGGACAUGUGGGUCGGGUUAGGCGGGUCUUCGGGUUACCGGGUUGGGAAAAAAUGGGUUCAUAUGGAUUAUGUCGGUCGGUUUCGGAUGCUGUUUUUGAGUCCAUGGAUAUCCACACCCGACCGGCUGAGGAAGGGAGUAUAGAUGAGAUAGUUAAUAGGACUUGACAGAUUAAUGGGUCCAUGGAUUUUUUCACUUAGUCAACUAGGGUUUCAUCAGUUCUCAUCAAUCCUCCAAAUUUGUUUCUCUUCAGUACCUUUCCGCUAGGGUUUUAUCUUCUUCUUCAACCGCCGUCGCUGCUUCGUUAUCCACGAGCACCACCACGCCACCAAGCCACGAACCACCACCACGCCACCAAGCCACGAACCACCACCGAUGAGGUGGAUUAUGAUACAUAAGGAGAAGUAGCUUAUAUGAGAAGUAGCUUAUUUGGAUUGGAACAUAACUAUAGCAUUUUUUUGCUACAUGGAAUGUGGUUGGAAGAUCUCCACCAGAGUAAUUUGAGUAUCAAUGAUUUGUUUCAUGACUCGCUGCAUGCAUUUGAUCAACUCAAACAGGGUGUUCAUUGAUGAGUUUAUUUGUAAAAUAUUUGAAAUUUGAAAUUUGGAUAACUAUAAUAUAUUGAUAGACUGUGUUGUGAUCUACAUGAUGUUGCAGAUACAAUUAUAUACUAUUGGGUUGUUUGUUAUAUUUGAAUGCCCAACUUUUUUAUUUA